Molecule: long non-coding RNA, 357 nt
Filed under: Olea europaea (common olive)
Lineage: Eukaryota; Viridiplantae; Streptophyta; Magnoliopsida; Lamiales; Oleaceae
Description: long non-coding RNA (OEUR_LNC014879)
Source: RNAcentral
UAAUUACAAAGUAUCACCAAUCUUUGGACAAAGUGGCAAUCAUCUCACAAACUAAUUUGUUGUCUUGUAAACAAAUUGAAGACCUGUUCAUGAUUUCUGUCAGUUGCACUAAGCGCGUCAUUUCAAUAUGAUAAACAAAAUACCUCACUUAAUUUAUCCAUUAAAUUGGACAGAAAUUGUCUAAUGGGACAAAGUUUUUUAAUUUCUUAAAUGUUGGGUUGAAAACUUUACAAAAAAUAGUCAGGACUACAUCAGUACUUUGAAGAAAGAUAGGGGACUAAAUUAGAAAAUUAUCCUUCAAUUUUGAGUUGGGUCAUUAAUAAUUUCUUCACAUAAAUUAAUGUUACUUUAUAUAAG